GGAGGAGAGGGGUAGGGAAGAGAGCCUUCCUCCUACAUUUCUGGCCUCCCUGGUGAAAGACCUUGGGUCCCAACAGGCUCAAAUACCCCACAGAGCCAGCACCCCCCACCCGAAGGCCUGGUUCUGGGCACCUGAAUGAGUGUGUAGCCAGCGUGGGAAAGCUGGAGUAGGCAGCCAUCAUCUCAUUCUCCUUAGACCUGGUGGGUAUGCCCUGGCCCUGCCCAUCAAGCUUGCAGCCCUCAAAAGCCCUCUGUUGGUAGGUGGGACCCAAGCAGCCCUCGGCCCAAGAGGAUGGGGGCUGUGAGCAGCUCCGGUUUGGCCUGGGCACCUCCUCUCCCCAGGACUCCAGCCAGCCCGACCAGGAGACCUCCAGAGGCGCCAGCUCACACAGAGGGAACUUUGUGAGGCCCUGGGAGGCAUGUGCAGGCUCUGUGCAUCCAGGGCUGUGUGUCUCCAUGAGGGGCUGCCUCUCUGAGUCAGGCCAGUGAUUGUCACCUAUUCUGAUCCCGGCCCUCUUCUCAUCGCGCUCUACAUGCUCUCCUUGGAGGAUCACAUCCUUGAAGUUAUCAUGAAGACUCCCAGUGCGCCCAAGUCUAGCCUUAACUUCUCUCUGGAAUCCUAGACUCAUAUAACUAAGUGCCUACUGGAAUUGGGGCGGUAUUGAUUCCUGGUUCACUUACUAACUUUGUGAUUGAGAAGUUAUUUAAUCUCUCUUAGCCUCAGCUUUGUCAUCUGUAAAAUGGUGGUAAUAAUAGCUA
Long non-coding RNA from Callithrix jacchus (white-tufted-ear marmoset), 758 nucleotides. RefSeq lists it as uncharacterized. NCBI's taxonomy places the organism in Eukaryota, Metazoa, Chordata, Mammalia, Primates, Cebidae. The record is from RefSeq and is a predicted model, not a curated record.